CAGGUGGGGAUGCAGGUGUUCCAAGUAGUGAGACCCACACCAGCCAAGCUUGCUAGAACUUUCUGCUGCCCCAGAUUGGAGUUCAACUCCAGCUGAGGCAAGUGAUGCAAGGGCCGGCUACGAGGGUGCCCCUCUGUGGAUACCCCUAGAACCUGUGGCCCUCACCCCACACUCCUUUCCUACCACCACCGAAAAAAAAAAAAAGCCUAAUUCCAUUUUCUCCACCAGACCAUGUUAGCUGAGGGCAGGCAGGACUUGGGCCCCUGGAGCCAGCCGGUGGGGGUCACUUUGUCUGCAGAGAGCAGCAGCACUCCACCCCCAAUCCUAAAGAGAAAGGAAGAAAACCCUGCCUUCUCCCAGCCUCUUCCCAUUCCUGUUCCUGCAGCCAGCCGGGCCUGAACACAGCCGAGGCUGUAGCUGGUGGGGUGGGAAAGGGCAGGCAGGGGGACCUGGAAGCCCCUUGGCCACGCUGGGGCCCAGAGCAGCCCAGAGGGAGGCUGGGGUCGGAAGAGCAGAGGCUGACCUCUUGCCGGGACCAGGCGCACAUUUCCUGGGAGGGGGUUGGCCAGAGAUGGAAGGCUCCCAGUGACCUGGCAGGUCGGUGAGCAGCAAGGCAUCUGAAGAAUUGGCCCUGCCAGCAAAACCAUUCUGGAGUGGAUCAGAUCAGAUCUUGGCAGCCCUGGCAUGCUGACUUCUCCCCCCACCCCCUCCAGGUUCUCCAGCUAGAAGCGACCACAGCCCAACGCCUGGCCUGGGCAGAAUUGCUUUGCUGGCCCUUCCAGCCUGUCUGCAGCUGGAGGUCUCCACUGAUUCCAAAAGGACUCAAACCGCUUAGCAGAUGCACCUGCGCUCACCAACUGCUGGUCCCUGGAGUCCUCUAGUCUCCCCAAGGGAAAAGCCAGAGGGCUAAUCUUGCAGUACUAAGUAAUCAAGGGUGGAAGUGAAGGCGUGUUCAGAAAGGAUGGCGUGUCCGGGGCUCUAAAAGGAAAGAGUGUGCCUUCCAGAGGGAAGCCCUGCUGGGGAACUCAGGUAACUG
This is a long non-coding RNA of Ochotona princeps (American pika), 1036 nucleotides long. RefSeq lists it as uncharacterized. The transcript is spliced from 3 exons. NCBI's taxonomy places the organism in Eukaryota, Metazoa, Chordata, Mammalia, Lagomorpha, Ochotonidae. The record is from RefSeq and is a predicted model, not a curated record.